UACAGAGGGGGCAAGCGUUGUUCGGAAUUACUGGGCGUAAAGGGCGCGUAGGCGGCCUGCUAAGUCGAACGUGAAAUCCCUGGGCUCAACCCAGGAACUGCGUCCGAUACUGGUUGGCUUGAAUCCGGGAGAGGGACGUGGAAUUCCAGGUGUAGCGGUGAAAUGCGUAGAUAUCGUAAGGAAGACCAGUGGCGAAGGCGAGUCUCUGGACAGUUACCGACGCUGAGGCACGAAGGCCAGGGGAGCAAACGGG
RNAcentral lists this ribosomal RNA (253 nucleotides) under uncultured bacterium. RNAcentral's name for it is "partial 16S ribosomal RNA". It matches the Rfam family "Bacterial small subunit ribosomal RNA", at positions 524 to 776 of the family's 1533-position model. The record is from RNAcentral.